GGGGCCGUCUAGUUUCGACGGGUAUGUUUGAGCUUUAAUUGCAAGUCGUAAGGUAAUGCGAUAAAUUCCAAAAAUAAAUAACUGGAAACAGAAAUCAAUUAGCUUUCGCUUAAUAUAAUUUAGAAGGCACUCUAAUAAAUUUUUUCCUAUGAAAUUUAUAUAGGGUUCGAUUAAGUAGGAUAUAUUAUUGUGAUGUCUAUAAGCAAUAAUGAAAUUUAUAGACUUAUCUUAAAAUUGUUUGUUGAUUAACGUAUUUUAAGAGAAAUUUAAUAAUCAACUAAACUUGUAGAUGUUAUUGUGUUAAUGUAUUCGGACAUGGGUGCGAUUCCCAUCGGCUCCACCA
RNAcentral lists this transfer-messenger RNA (343 nucleotides) under human gut metagenome. It matches the Rfam family "transfer-messenger RNA". From Rfam's summary of the family: Bacterial tmRNA, also known as 10Sa RNA or SsrA, is named for its dual tRNA and mRNA-like properties. Its role is to liberate the mRNA from a stalled ribosome. The record is from RNAcentral.